GUACCGAGCCUCCUCUCUGCUUCCGUCCGGUCUGUCCGAAGCUCGAGAGAGAGAGAGAGAGAGAGAGAGAGAGAGAGGCGUGCAGGCCAGGAAGGAAGGAAGUUGAUAUUAUCGUCUUAAUUAACAACUUGUAGACUGUAACUACAGAGUAUAGUAAACCCCAAAGUAAUAAAGAAAAUGCUGUUGAGGGCACUCCAUUUCUCUAAUCCCUCAAUCAACCACCACCGAUACACAUCGUCCCCCGCCACCUCCACCGCUCACUCUCGUCUCUUUCUGUACGAUCUCCGCCUCCCAAUCCAACGGUUCUCGUCGAUUACCAUACAAUCACACUAUAAUUCAACAACAACAGCUGUUGCAGAAUCAGAAUCGCUAGAGUCGUCGACUUCAUCUGAGUACAUCGAGACCGUCGGAUUACCGUCUAGUUCAGUGCUUCAGCUCUCUCAGUGGAAUCUCACUCAUCGCCACGUUCUCGUCCUCAAUGUCAUUGCUUGCGCUGCAGCGGUUUCAGCAACCUGGCUAUUUUUGUCUGCAAUCCCAACUCUUCUUGCUUUCAAGACGGCAGCAGAAUCACUUGAGAAGUUGAUGGAUGUGACGAGGGAAGAACUUCCAGAUACAAUGGCUGCUGUUCGGUUAUCAGGCAUGGAAAUUAGUGAUCUUACCAUGGAGCUCAGUGACUUGGGGCAGGAGAUUACACAAGGUGUUAGAAGUUCCACCAGAGCUGUCCGUGUAGCUGAGGAGAGGCUGCGCCAAUUGACAAACAUAACUCCAACAGCUUCAUUGCAGAGGGUAGCCAUUCUGAAAAAUGAGACAGGAGGACCAGCAUUGGCCAGGACUGCACGGGGAAUGAGGGAGGGGAUUGUCAAGGGUCGUUCAAUCUUGCAAAUAUUCUUCACAAUCAUACAAUUUUCCAGGAUGGCCGUUAACUAUUUUGCUAAGCAAAAUAAGAAAUAGAUCCAAAGAUAUGAGCUCUGUGAUGAAAAGAAAGAUCAUCAAAACGAAUUAAACCCAAUGGGCUAUCCUGUGAUGGUUCUUCUUGGUGAGAUAAUUAAUAGGGUUUGUAUGAGGCAGAGUACAGAAAGAAGAUGGGUGGGGAAAUAGUUGACAAGCAAUGGAACACGAAUUUUGAAGUCCAGGUCCAGUUCCUUCAUAGCUUACAUGAUGGUAACCAAUGUGCUGAUUUCUUAGUGCGUACUGGUUCUUCUCAGACUUCCACUUGCGAACUUUGGUUUCAUCAUCUUCCUGGCAUGGAUCAGGAUGAGCUUCUCCUAGCUGCUGAUAUAAUGGGAAUUGCCCUUCUCUCAGUGUUUGUUUUCGUUUAUACCAUCUUUUGCACACAAAAAGAAGGGGGUCCCUUUUGCAGAACUUUGAAGUUUGAUUAAUGGCAUGGUCAUGUAACUUGGUGUGGAGAGGCUGGGCUAAAAAUCACUCGAAGUCCCUCUUCUAUUUGAAUUUGGUCAAAUCAAUCUCCAUACAAUAAAUUCGAUCUCACACUUUUGAUUUUGGGUAAUA
Populus trichocarpa (black cottonwood) is the source of this 1509-nucleotide RNA transcript. RefSeq lists it as uncharacterized. The transcript is spliced from 7 exons. Lineage: Eukaryota; Viridiplantae; Streptophyta; Magnoliopsida; Malpighiales; Salicaceae. The record is from RefSeq and is a predicted model, not a curated record.